GUGCGGCUCUCUCCACAAUGGGCACGGUCAUCAGCAAGAGACUUGGGGAUAUGAGGAAUUCUGCAACCUUCAAGUCAUUUGAGGAUAAAAUGGGGAGCCUGAAGUAUAAGGUUGUUGGCCCCAAAGAGAAUGAAGAUGCAGUCAGCUCCCCUACCAACACCACCCCCACUCAGGAGAACCCACCUUUCUGAAUGUAUCCCUCCUCCUCCUCCUUGCUGCCACCUCCCUCACGACCUGAGACUGUACUGUUCUCACCUCACAUUGCAGAGUCAGCCCUGACAUUUGACCCUCCGCCUCACUGACUUGCCACUGCUCAUUUUCCUCGAGUUCUGUUCAUGAUGCCAGAGGUGAAGGACUCCUGGGUUUGAGAUGGGACAAGCGUACCCUGCCGGUCCCACUGCUUGCACCACAGCUUCCAUUCUUCUGCCACCCUGUUGAGGAAAAUUUUUGUUGUCUAAACCUGAAUAUCUUAAAAGGCCUUUCGUUAGUAUAUCACCUCUGCCUAUUUUCACUCCCUCCCCACUGUGAUCCUCACCUGUUUUAGUUCAAAAUAAAUCAACACUCAGCUGCUGCACUCUUCAGAUGCCUUUAUGAACAGGUUUGCUUUGAUCAGAAAGUCACUUAAAGGCUACAAAGGCAUUAUACCCUGUACUAAACUAAAUGAUAAAGUUUGUCUUUCAUUCUGGGAUAGAGAUUUCCCAAAGGUGCUGCUGAAAUUGUACAUGAAAAAUUAACCUUGCAGUGUAUUUGGGCCCCAAAGCUUAGAAACUAGGCUAUCUGCAGAGUGAGUGUGGAGGGGGAUUUUAGGGCCAUAAGCAAGAUGGUUUACAUGCUAAAUCUGCUAGUUCUCUUCUUGCUUCUUAUGUCUUCUACUUAAAUGUGUUGCUACAAUUUCUCCACCUUCUUCUCAAAUAUAUACCUUUUGGUUCACAACUCUGCGGUUGCCCA
Molecule: long non-coding RNA, 948 nt
Organism: Monopterus albus (swamp eel)
Lineage: Eukaryota; Metazoa; Chordata; Actinopteri; Synbranchiformes; Synbranchidae
Exons: 3
Source: RefSeq, a predicted model, not a curated record